GACGAACGCUGGCGGCGUGCUUAACACAUGCAAGUCGAACGGAAAGGCCCUGCUUUUGUGGGGUGCUCGAGUGGCGAACGGGUGAGUAACACGUGAGUAACCUGCCCUUGACUUUGGGAUAACUUCAGGAAACUGGGGCUAAUACCGGAUAGGAGCUCCUGCUGCAUGGUGGGGGUUGGAAAGUUUCGGCGGUUGGUGAUGGACUCGCGGCUUAUCAGCUUGUUGGUGGGGUAGUGGCUUACCAAGGCUUUGACGGGUAGCCGGCCUGAGAGGGUGACCGGCCACAUUGGGACUGAGAUACGGCCCAGACUCCUACGGGAGGCAGCAGUGGGGAAUAUUGCACCAUGGGCGGAAGCCUGAUGCAGCAACGCCGCGUGCGGGAUGACGGCCUUCGGGUUGUAAACCGCUUUCGCCUGUGACGAAGCGUGAGUGACGGUAAUGGGUAAAGAAGCACCGGCUAACUACGUG
This 468-nucleotide ribosomal RNA is filed under the name uncultured bacterium. RNAcentral's name for it is "partial 16S ribosomal RNA". It matches the Rfam family "Bacterial small subunit ribosomal RNA", at positions 28 to 507 of the family's 1533-position model. The record is from RNAcentral.